GACGAACGCUGGCGGCGUGCCUAAUACAUGCAAGUAGAACGCUGAAGGAGGAGCUUGCUUCUCUGGAUGAGUUGCGAACGGGUGAGUAACGCGUAGGUAACCUGCCUGGUAGCGGGGGAUAACUAUUGGAAACGAUAGCUAAUACCGCAUAAUAGUAGAUGUUGCAUGACAUUUGCUUAAAAGGUGCAAUUGCAUCACUACCAGAUGGACCUGCGUUGUAUUAGCUAGUUGGUGGGGUAACGGCUCACCAAGGCGACGAUACAUAGCCGACCUGAGAGGGUGAUCGGCCACACUGGGACUGAGACACGGCCCAGAGUCCUACGGGAGGCAGCAGUAGGGAAUCUUCGGCAAUGGACGGAAGUCUGACCGAGCAACGCCGCGUGAGUGAAGAAGGUUUUCGGAUCGUAAAGCUCUGUUGUAAGAGAAGAACGAGUGUGAGAGUGGAAAGUUCACACUGUGACGGUAUCUUACCAGAAAGGGACGGCUAACUACGUG
RNAcentral lists this ribosomal RNA (495 nucleotides) under uncultured bacterium. RNAcentral describes it as "partial 16S ribosomal RNA". It matches the Rfam family "Bacterial small subunit ribosomal RNA", at positions 28 to 507 of the family's 1533-position model. The record is from RNAcentral.